GUGGGUGUAGCUCAGGGGUAGAGCACGUGCUUAGUGUGCAUGAGGUCCUGGGUCCAAUCCCCAGUACCUUCA
Molecule: transfer RNA, 72 nt
Filed under: Camelus bactrianus (Bactrian camel)
Lineage: Eukaryota; Metazoa; Chordata; Mammalia; Artiodactyla; Camelidae
Also listed under: 2 other names
Rfam family: tRNA
About the family: Transfer RNA (tRNA) molecules are approximately 80 nucleotides in length. Their secondary structure includes four short double-helical elements and three loops (D, anti-codon, and T loops).
Source: Rfam by way of RNAcentral